Molecule: ribosomal RNA, 841 nt
Filed under: Flavobacterium sp. B171
Lineage: Bacteria; Pseudomonadati; Bacteroidota; Flavobacteriia; Flavobacteriales; Flavobacteriaceae
Description: partial 16S ribosomal RNA
Source: RNAcentral
UGGGAUACUUAUCACUUUCGCUUAGCCACUGAAAUUGCUUCCAACAGCUAGUAUCCAUCGUUUACGGCGUGGACUACCAGGGUAUCUAAUCCUGUUCGCUACCCACGCUUUCGUCCAUCAGCGUCAAUCCAUUAGUAGUAACCUGCCUUCGCAAUUGGUAUUCCAUGUAAUCUCUAAGCAUUUCACCGCUACACUACAUAUUCUAGUUACUUCCUAAUAAUUCAAGUUCAGCAGUAUCAAUGGCCGUUCCACCGUUGAGCGAUGGGCUUUCACCACUGACUUACUAAACCGCCUACGGACCCUUUAAACCCAAUGAUUCCGGAUAACGCUUGGAUCCUCCGUAUUACCGCGGCUGCUGGCACGGAGUUAGCCGAUCCUUAUUCUUACGAUACCGUCAAGCUCCAACACGUUGGAGUGUUUCUUCUCGUACAAAAGCAGUUUACAAUCCAUAGGACCGUCAUCCUGCACGCGGCAUGGCUGGAUCAGGCUUGCGCCCAUUGUCCAAUAUUCCUCACUGCUGCCUCCCGUAGGAGUCUGGUCCGUGUCUCAGUACCAGUGUGGGGGAUCUCCCUCUCAGGACCCCUACCCAUCGUAGCCUUGGUAAGCCGUUACCUUACCAACUAGCUAAUGGGACGCAUGCUCAUCUUUCACCGUUGUGACUUUAAUUAUUAAGUGAUGCCACUCAAUAAUACUAUGAGGUAUUAAUCCAAAUUUCUCUGGGCUAUCCCUCUGUGAAAGGUAGAUUGCAUACGCGUUACGCACCCGUGCGCCGGUCUCUAGCUCCGAAGAACUAUACCCCUCGACUUGCAUGUGUUAAGCCUGCCGCUAGCGUUCAUCCUGA